GACGAACGCUGGCGGCGUGCUUAACACAUGCAAGUCGAGCGGUAAGGCCCUUUCGGGGGUACACGAGCGGCGAACGGGUGAGUAACACGUGGGUGACCUGCCCUCAGCUCUGGGAUAAGCCCGGGAAACUGGGUCUAAUACCGGAUAUGACUCCAUGACGCAUGUUGUGGGGUGGAAAGCCUUGUGCGGCUGAGGAUGGGCCCGCGGCCUAUCAGCUUGUUGGUGGGGUGAUGGCCACCAAGGCGACGACGGGUAGCCGGCCUGAGAGGGCGACCGGCCACACUGGGACUGAGAUACGGCCCAGACUCCUACGGGAGGCAGCAGUGGGGAAUCUUGCGCAAUGGGCGAAGGCCUG
This 355-nucleotide ribosomal RNA is filed under the name uncultured bacterium. Its description in RNAcentral is "bacterial SSU rRNA". It matches the Rfam family "Bacterial small subunit ribosomal RNA", at positions 28 to 385 of the family's 1533-position model. The record is from RNAcentral.